CCUAGAUGGAAUUUAUCGCCUGCCAAAGUCCAACAGGGCCCCAGCAGCCACUGUCCAGGACACCAUAGUACGCUGCACACAAUCCCACGACAAAAUUGCUCUCUGGUCGGCACUAUGGGACAAGACGCCACUCCUCUUCGAAGGCGCAAGCCUAACGUUCUAUCAAGACCACACGAGGUCCACCCUGCAGUGGCGAAAAGCUCUUCAACCCCUCACAAACCAACUGAGGACAGCCGGCAUUAAAUACCAAUGGAGGCCCCCCAGGCUCCUGGUGGUAAACCACGAAG
Non-coding RNA from Pelobates cultripes (western spadefoot toad), 287 nucleotides. Lineage: Eukaryota; Metazoa; Chordata; Amphibia; Anura; Pelobatidae. The record is from the annotation of a GenBank genome assembly.